AACGAACGCUGGCGGCAUGCCUAACACAUGCAAGUCGAACGAAGUCUUCGGACUUAGUGGCGCACGGGUGCGUAACGCGUGGGAAUCUGCCCUUGGUGCGGAAUAACUUCUCGAAAGGGAUGCUAAUACCGCAUAAUGUCGUAAGACCAAAGAUUUAUCGCCCAAGGAUGAGCCCACGUAAGAUUAGCUAGUUGGUGGGGUAAAAGCCUACCAAGGCGACGAUCUUUAGCUGGUCUGAGAGGAUGAUCAGCCACACUGGGACUGAGACACGGCCCAGACUCCUACGGGAGGCAGCAGUGGGGAAUAUUGGACAAUGGGCGAAAGCCUGAUCCAGCAAUGCCGCGUGAGUGAUGAAGGCCCUAGGGUUGUAAAGCUCUUUUACCAGGGAUGAUAAUGACAGUACCUGGAGAAUAAGCUCCGGCUAACUCCGUGCCAGCAGCCGCGGUAAU
RNAcentral lists this ribosomal RNA (449 nucleotides) under uncultured bacterium. RNAcentral describes it as "bacterial SSU rRNA". It matches the Rfam family "Bacterial small subunit ribosomal RNA", at positions 29 to 524 of the family's 1533-position model. The record is from RNAcentral.